This 194-nucleotide ribosomal RNA is filed under the name uncultured bacterium. Its description in RNAcentral is "partial 16S ribosomal RNA". It matches the Rfam family "Bacterial small subunit ribosomal RNA", at positions 1307 to 1500 of the family's 1533-position model. The record is from RNAcentral.
GCAACUCGACUACAUGAAGCUGGAAUCGCUAGUAAUCGCGAAUCAGAAUGUCGCGGUGAAUACGUUCCCGGGUCUUGUACACACCGCCCGUCACACCAUGGGAGUUGGGAAUGCCCGAAGCCGGUGACCUAACCGAAAGGGAGGAGCCGUCGAAGGCAGGUCUGAUAACUGGGGUGAAGUCGUAACAAGGUAUC